AAGGGUGCCACCAGACUGGCACGACCCUUUGUUUCUCUGGGUUCAGCCCAUUGCAUGUGUCCAGCAGGUGCUGUCUCCCCCUUGGACUGCUAGCUCUCCCCUGGCAUAGGCUCUGGACCAAUGUGUUCUCUCUUCCCACCCUUCUCCCUGCCCUGGACCCUCUAGUCUGAUCUAAUCAGCAAGCUCCUAUUCAUCCUUCAAAACCCAGGUGUCACUUGCUCUACUCUGUUAUCUCUAUAUCUUGUCUCUAAUACGCAGUAUUAGUUACUCCAUUAAGGAGCUCUAUUAAGCAGCUACCACUCAGAACUGUAAUGAUCUGCUUAUGUGUCUGACUUCUCCAUGCAACUCUGAGCAGCUCAAAGUCCCGGCUUACGGCAGGUGCUCAACUAGCCACAGAGCAUCUGCCAGCCUUUUCAGUGGAAGAAACAGAAAGGCCACAGGAUUCGCUGAUUCUUUUUUUCAAACUAAGGAAAAAAAAAAACAAAACAAAACAAAAGGAAGGCUGUUUUUCUUGCCUCUCUUACUGACAGGAAUAAACAUUUCAGAGCAGGAGAGUCAGAAAGUGGCUGUCUUGACAGCCCUGUGUUCAAAUGCUCAGCGCAGGACGAGCCAGAUGACCUCCCGAUUCCACGACUUCCUGGCACGAGAAAACUGAUCCGCCCUCUGCGAGCCCAGUCAGCCCAUUCUCACCAACUGGAG
This 699-nucleotide long non-coding RNA is filed under the name Homo sapiens (human). Its description in RNAcentral is "non-protein coding lnc-FOXM1-3:1". The record is from RNAcentral. Lineage: Eukaryota; Metazoa; Chordata; Mammalia; Primates; Hominidae.